UAAGGCGUAGGAGCCUCGGGGAGGGUGAGCCAAGAGGGACGUGGCGCUCUGCGGCGCGGACUAGGAAGCCGCGCCCCUUCCUUCUCGGGCUUUCAUGGAGAAUCCUGUGGAGCAGGAUUUGGGUGGGUGAGGUGCUUACCCGCGACCGGGACAAAAAAACAGGUGUCUCCUCGCCCUCGGCCGCCGGUGCGCGCUGGCAGCGCCCAUACUGGUCAGGCGGUCAGGCGAUUUUCGCCCGCAGGCCUCCUUUGGGUCUAAUACCCCGGGCCUCCUCCUUGGCGGGAAUCUUACCUGUAUUUAACUAAGACAUCUGCUCCACACCCAUCAUUUUAAAGAUGGGGGAACUGAUCCUCAAAGAUACUCGUGGCUCGAGGAUUAGAGAAACUUUUGGAGCCUCAAGGCUGGUUUCGACUGAGUCUGCUAAGUAAAACUCCAAACUUGGGGCUUUGGCACUAAUGGAAAAUCUCCUGAUGGGGAGAAGGACGAAGAACACACUACUGCACUGUUCAAGGAAGAAAACAAGGCUUUGGAGUCAAAACUAGGUCCCAACCCUGCCUAAAUUAAAAACCCGGUUCUAUCUUUAUUAGUUGAGUGUCCUCUGCCAAGUAACUUAACCUUUGUCCAUAGCAUAGCUUCCUUAUUUAUAACAUGGAGGCAAUAAUAGUUCCCACUUCAUAAACAUGUGAGGAUUAAAUGAGUUCAUAUUUGUAAAGCAAAGAGGUUCUUGGCACAUAGUAAGCCCAUAGUCCAUAUAUUAAUGUUGGAUAA
Molecule: long non-coding RNA, 768 nt
Organism: Bos taurus (domestic cattle)
Lineage: Eukaryota; Metazoa; Chordata; Mammalia; Artiodactyla; Bovidae
Source: Ensembl